UAAUGGUGGGAGGAGGGGCAGAGAAAGACACAAUAAUACAUUGUUAGAGACAUUAAUAAGAGAUUUACUGGCUCUUGGUCUGACCUAUAAUAUUUGCCCUCAGAGCACAAUUGCAGGAAGAAAUCCAUGUCCUAACAACAAUGUUUUUGUAGCAGGAAAAGUGGAAAACCAUUAUCUUCAAACUCCUUUAUCAAUAAAUAGGAAGCAUCCUAUUUAUUUAUCAAUAAAUAGGAAGCAAAAAAAAUAAUUGCCGCCUCCAUUAAUUGAAUACAUUGACUCCACAGAUUGAGAAGUUUAAGGCUUUUAAGCAAGGCUGUCACUGUACUUCAGACUUACUGUCAUAAUUCACAAGAAAUUACAUGAAGAAGCAAAUCAAAGAGCUUCAGGCAUCUUAUUUGUCUAUGGUAUCUAUUUUCUGCUGGAGGCAUUCAACUUCAAGUGAUGGCAGGCGAGCCUUGGUGCCACAGUUAGGCUGCUCCUUACCAGUGCUGCACAAUCUGGCUUUAUGGAGACGAACACAUCAGAUAGGGUCAUGCCAUAUCUGUAGUAUGUUA
Musa acuminata subsp. malaccensis (wild Malaysian banana) is the source of this 554-nucleotide non-coding RNA. The record is from RefSeq and is a predicted model, not a curated record. NCBI's taxonomy places the organism in Eukaryota, Viridiplantae, Streptophyta, Magnoliopsida, Zingiberales, Musaceae.